UACGAAGGGGGCUAGCGUUGUUCGGAAUCACUGGGCGUAAAGCGCACGCAGGCGGAUCGUUAAGUCAGGGGUGAAAUCCCGAGGCUCAACCUCGGAACUGCCUUUGAUACUGGCGAUCUUCGAGUCCGGGAGAGGUGAGUGGAACUCCGAGUGUAGAGGUGAAUUCGUAGAUAUUCGGAAGAACACCAGUGGCGAAGGCGGCUCACUGGCCCGGUACUGACGCUCAGGUGCGAAAGCGUGGGGAGCAAACAGGGAGU
Molecule: ribosomal RNA, 257 nt
Filed under: uncultured bacterium
Lineage: Bacteria
Description: partial 16S ribosomal RNA
Rfam family: Bacterial small subunit ribosomal RNA
Source: RNAcentral